This is a long non-coding RNA of Gasterosteus aculeatus aculeatus (three-spined stickleback), 1961 nucleotides long. Lineage: Eukaryota; Metazoa; Chordata; Actinopteri; Perciformes; Gasterosteidae. The record is from Ensembl.
CAAGUCCAUCUUUUUAUAAAUUAUCAGUGCAUACAAAUCCUUUUAAAUAAUCAAUUAUUAUUUCAUGUUUGUUUGUUUCCAAAUGCAAAAAUAGAUUAGAUAAGUGGAUCGUGGAAUUUUCCAUGAUCCCUCUUUGUCAUUAAUCACAAUGAAUUUGAGGUGGCAAUCCAAGCAGGUCCAGAAGAAAAUAUUGUGUCAUCUUAAUGUAGAAAUGCAUUGUGUUUUAAAGUAAACAUUUUUUUUUUGCCACGCAAUAUUCUUACUUUUCUUUGUCCAACAGCAAACAAACACAGAUGAAAAUAUGGAAGAUGAAACAAACUCUAUGUGUUCUCUUUCACAGGUUAUGUUUACACUUUAAGGUUCCUUUUUACAAUUCGAGGGCACGCUUGAAUGAGGACUUUGUUAAACAAACAUGAAUUGCAUAAAUUCCGGGUUAAUUAGGAUAUAAUUGGGCUCGAAUCUUCCGUUGUUGUAGAUUACAGCUGGACCAAAGGUGUUUCUCUGCAAGAAAAUCAAUCAAAAACACAAAAUCAAUUCAGGGAACAGCACUUUUCCAGGUGUAAGCCUCAUGAAAACCACCACUUCCUCCCACAGUUUCCAGGCUGGAGAGAAGGAACGAUGCCAGAAAAAGAUUCAUUAAUAAUUCAGUGAGAGGCUGAAGCCUCACCACUUUAAGAUUACCGAAAGAAAAACCUAGAGCUGUUGUUGGACCAGCAAAAUCUUCACAUCAAGUGGGAUAUAGGAUUUCUCCAAUCAUUGCAUACACCAUUAGAAGAGUUCAUAUGAAUAUAGAUUAUACAUAUAGGAGACACCACCGUCAACUGGAUUUUGGAUGCAAGAGGAAGAUCAAAUGCAACAAGAAAGGAGUUCACCUGUGGUCGUUUACAACACUCGUUCGCUCGUUACCCUUCUCUGUUGAACGUCAUUCGUUGGUCAUUGAAUUAUCGUAUUUGAAUUUGAAACAUAUUGGGCUCAAAAGUUAAUUGUAAGUAUUGUAAGUAUAUCCAUCCAUCUUCUACACCUUGUAUCUUGUACACCGUGUGUCCUUACAGGGUCACCUGGGGUCAGGGAGUCAAUCCCAGCCAACCCAUCAGACGGCGAGACAAGGUGCCAGUUAAUCUGACGUGGAGACAGACAACCACACACUAGAAUAAUCAUACACCUUUCAGAGACACCAAUUAACCUCUCCUGCAUGCUAUUGCACUGUGGGAGGAGGAGAGAAGCCUCGAUGGCACGGCGAGAACAUGCAACCUCCAGCCAGAGAGGUGCCGAUGAGAGUACUUCUACGGUACCACUCUCUCCAACCCACCACCGUCUAUGCAUGCAAUGCGUAUUUACUUGUCAAAAAUUAAUUCCGUGCAGUCCAUUAUAACAAGGAAUACGAUGCAAUUAUAGUUUGUUUUGUAUGCACAAUAUCAAGUCAUUGACAAAUGGUCCCUGUACAAAUCAUGGCCACAACUAUUUAAUUUCAUGCCAUUUUUUCCACAGCUCCACUUGCCGCAUUCCUAAAAUAUACAUUUGUUUGGUUGUACGUGCAAAAAGGAGCAAAUGUAAUCCAUUUCUUUCGUAUGAGAACUAUAAAAAUCAAACAAUUUGUGCUUUCUUUUACCAAUUAGACGAAGGGGGUUUAAUGACUUAAUCGGUUUCCUGCCUCAACCGUAUUUUCUAUCUCACUUUAAUGUUCUUGUCAGCCACCAGCCUGAACAAAAUUGGUUUGAAAAUACUCCUCAUGACUUCAGUCUGUACUCCCCAGCAUUAGGUAUUUAUCACCUUCAGAAUUUAUUACAAUGCGCAGAGUUGAGUCUGGCAUCUUGCUGGCAUCCUUUCAAAUGAAUAUAAACCAAGAAGCAGCCCCCCUUUGGCACAAACGUCAUCUGGCUGUUUUUCAGAAGACUGAACACAUCAUCAGUCAUUUUUCCAUUAACAUCAAAAGCCUUGCGGAGUGGAUUAGUCAAUCAAAG